GAAGAAGGCCUCGGUUGUAAGACUCUUUCUAGCCGGAAAGAAAUACGCGCAGGAUAAUACUCUGCGUGGAUGACGGUACCGGAAGAAGAAGCACCGGCUAACUACGUGCCAGCAGCCGCGGUAAUACGUAGGGUGCGAGCGUUAAUCGGAAUUACUGGGCGUAAAGCGUGCGCAGGCGGUUAUGUAAGACAGAUGUGAAAUCCCCGGGCUCAACCUGGGAACUGCGUUUGUGACUGCAUAACUAGAGUACGGCAGAGGGAGGUGGAAUUCCGCGUGUAGCAGUGAAAUGCGUAGAUAUGCGGAGGAACACCGAUGGCGAAGGCAGCCUCCUGGGCCAGUACUGACGCUCAUGCACGAAAGCGUGGGGAGCAAAACAGGAUUAGAUACCUGGUAGUCCACGCCCUAAACGAUGUCAACUAGUUGUUCGGUGAGGAGACGUCAUUGAGUAACGCAGCUAACGCGUGAAGUUGACCGCCUGGGAGUACGGCGCAAGGUUAAAACUCAAAGGAAUU
Molecule: ribosomal RNA, 512 nt
Filed under: uncultured bacterium
Lineage: Bacteria
Description: bacterial SSU rRNA
Rfam family: Bacterial small subunit ribosomal RNA
Source: RNAcentral